UACGGAGGGUGCAAGCGUUGUUCGGAAUUAUUGGGCGUAAAGGGCGCGUAGGCGGUAAUGUAAGUCAGAUGUGAAAUACUCCGGCUCAACCAGAGAACAGCAUCUGAAACUGCAUAACUAGAGUACAGAAGAGGGGAACGGAAUUCCCGGUGUAGAGGUGAAAUUCGUAGAUAUCGGGAGGAACACCAGUGGCGAAGGCGGUUUCCUGGUCUGAUACUGACGCUGAGGCGCGAAAGCGUGGGGAGCAAACAGGAUUAGAUACCCGCGUAGU
RNAcentral lists this ribosomal RNA (271 nucleotides) under uncultured prokaryote. RNAcentral's name for it is "partial 16S ribosomal RNA". It matches the Rfam family "Bacterial small subunit ribosomal RNA", at positions 524 to 794 of the family's 1533-position model. The record is from RNAcentral.